GACGAACGCUGGCGGCGUGCUUAACACAUGCAAGUCGAACGGAAAGGCCUGCUUUCCCUUGUGGAUUGCGGGUACUCGAGUGGCGAACGGGUGAGUAACACGUGAGUGAUCUGCCCCCAACUUGGGUAUAAGCCUGGGAAACUGGGUCUAAUUCCCGAUAGGACUGCAGGGUGGUGCCUGUGGUGGAAAACGGUUUUCUAGUGGUUGGGGAUGAGCUCGCGGCCUAUCAGCUUGUUGGUGGGGUAAUGGCCUACCAAGGCGGCGACGGGUAGCCGGCCUGGGAGGGUGGACGGCCACAUUGGGACUGAGAUACGGCCCAGACUCCUACGGGAGGCAGCAGUGGGGAAUAUUGCACAAUGGGCGGAAGCCUGAUGCAGCGACGCCGCGUGGGGGAUGACGGCCUUCGGGUUGUAAACUCCUUUCGACCGCGAGGAAGCCACCUGGUUGGAAGGGUGGUGACGGUAGUGGUAGAAGAAGCACCGGCUAACUACGUG
This 494-nucleotide ribosomal RNA is filed under the name uncultured bacterium. Its description in RNAcentral is "partial 16S ribosomal RNA". It matches the Rfam family "Bacterial small subunit ribosomal RNA", at positions 28 to 507 of the family's 1533-position model. The record is from RNAcentral.